UUCCAGACUCCUACGGGAGGCAGCAGUGGGGGAUAUUGCACAAUGGGGGAAACCCUGAUGCAGCGACGCCGCGUGGGCGAAGAAGUAUUUCGGUGUGUAAAGCCCUAUCAGCAGGGAAGAAGAAAUGACGGUACCUGAGUAAGAAGCACCGGCUAAAUACGUGCCAGCAGCCGCGGUAAUACGUAUGGUGCAAGCGUUAUCCGGAUUUACUGGGUGUAAAGGGAGCGCAGGCGGCACGGCAAGCCUGAUGUGAAAGCCCGCGGCCCAACCGCGGGACUGCAUUGGGAACUACCGGGCUGGAGUGCCGGAGAGGUAGGCGGAAUUCCUGGUGUAGCGGUGAAAUGCGUAGAUAUCAGGAGGAACACCGGCGGCGAAGGCGGCCUGCUGGACCGCGACUGACGUUGAGGCUCGAAAGCGUGGGGAGCGAACAGGAUUAGAUACCCCGGUA
RNAcentral lists this ribosomal RNA (448 nucleotides) under uncultured bacterium. RNAcentral describes it as "partial 16S ribosomal RNA". It matches the Rfam family "Bacterial small subunit ribosomal RNA", at positions 329 to 792 of the family's 1533-position model. The record is from RNAcentral.